UCCCUGGUGGCCCAGUGGCUAAGACUCUGCACUCCCAAUGCAAGAGGCCUGGGUUCGAUCCCUGGUGAGGGAA
RNAcentral lists this transfer RNA (73 nucleotides) under Bos taurus (domestic cattle). It matches the Rfam family "tRNA". From Rfam's summary of the family: Transfer RNA (tRNA) molecules are approximately 80 nucleotides in length. RNAcentral also lists the same sequence under 2 other names. The record is from Rfam by way of RNAcentral. Lineage: Eukaryota; Metazoa; Chordata; Mammalia; Artiodactyla; Bovidae.